Molecule: non-coding RNA, 45 nt
Filed under: Trichobilharzia regenti
Lineage: Eukaryota; Metazoa; Platyhelminthes; Trematoda; Strigeidida; Schistosomatidae
Source: RNAcentral
AUCCAGAUGACCGGUCGAAAAUAGGACGAAACGCGCAUCCUGGAU